GGAUAGAAGGGCAAUCUGGCUAUGAUAUCUGUCACCCCACAGUCGGCCAGGGGUGAACAUCUUAUCUAGCUGGCUGGGGAAAAGGGGUUACACAGCUUCAUGUGUAACCCUCCAAAGCAGAGGAUGAUCUUACCCAGUAGAGAAGGAUUGCUUUUCCAUCAAGUGUAUAGUGGCAGCUGCAUUCCUGUGUUGGAACCUCUAAAGGAGAUCUCCAUAAACCAGAGUCUGAGAUUUACUCCCAUUAAGAAGACAAGAUAUUCUUCUGAUAAUAUAUUAUCUUAAAGGCUCUA
This 290-nucleotide small RNA is filed under the name Tupaia belangeri (northern tree shrew). RNAcentral describes it as "7SK RNA (ENSTBEG00000020677.1)". The record is from RNAcentral. Lineage: Eukaryota; Metazoa; Chordata; Mammalia; Scandentia; Tupaiidae.